Durio zibethinus is the source of this 1213-nucleotide non-coding RNA. The record is from RefSeq and is a predicted model, not a curated record. NCBI's taxonomy places the organism in Eukaryota, Viridiplantae, Streptophyta, Magnoliopsida, Malvales, Malvaceae.
CCUAACUAAUAUUGUAUUAUUAUAUGAGUUCUUUGGCUAAAAAGAGCAUUUGCUUAAAUGAGUACAGUGAGUAGUGGGACCGUGGCAAUUUUAUGGAACUUGUUUUUUCGGUCUCAAGUCUAGUUCCUGAAUUUUAGCCUGCCUGUUGGGUUUGAUCUGCUGCCCAUCGCCACCUGAUAGAGUAAUGGUCAGGGAAGCCGAUGGAUCCUGAUCACCCUCAAUUUGCAUUCGAAUGGAUGACCAGAUUUCGAUCAACAACUCGGGACCAUGUCGGCUGGGAAUCUUUCGACAAUCGCGCGAUGAGCAUUGAUUAAUACGCAGCCGCUAACUAUUGGUGGUUGCGUUUGCCAACGCGUGUAAGAAAGUUGACUGGAAUUUAAUCGCAACGGACUUGACAAAGCGCUAUAUAUUUAGCAUAGAUUUCUGUUUCCUGGUUUUCGAUCAAUGGGGGCAACCAAAAGAUAGCUUCAUCUUGCGUAAAGGGAAAAAGAGAACGAAUUCAGCUAAAGAUAUGAGGAAAAGAUUUAGAAGGCUGAAAGCAGAGAUGAAAGAGAUCAGCAAAGAGCAGGCAAGCAUUAAGGAAGGGCAAAGGCUACUUCGAGAAAAAUUCAAAGCAGUCGAAGAAGAAUGCGAGCAGCUCAGGCAGGAAACUAACCAAAUUAUCCGACAAAGUGCCAACACUAAAUUCCGUCUGUGUCUGAUGUUUAAUAUCCUGAAGGCGCGAGAACAAGGCGAUUUCUUAAGGGCUGCUCAAUUAAUUCGACUACUUCGUGAAAUAGUCGCCAGACAUAAUUGCCAAAAUUAACUAUACCUGCAGCAGUUCGAAGACCGAAUUUCCACGUUCGGACAUGGUAUCCAGUUUAUCAAAAAUAGAUAUAUAGUUCAAUUCGUAAAAGUAUACAAAGCAAUGUAUUCGUAGACCAUUAUUUGUUAAAUUAUAUGCUGAUCGAACUUCAAUAAAAUUUUUAAAUAUUAUGUUGUCAAUAAAUUUUUCAAUAAAAUUGUCGCUUAUAUGUUUAUAUAUAUAUAUAUAUAUAUAUAUAUUCAUUCUGGCAUAUUCUAUGAUAUUAACCAUCAAAGUUUGAUUGAAAUCCGAAAUUUUAUCUAUUUUGUUGUGAUUAUAGCUCUUGGGACUCCCAAUUUAUGGAUAUAUUGCUUUCCUACCAGUCUAAUGUACGUAAACGGACUUUGUGGGUAAAUAAUACAUAAUUUU